CGCUGGCGGCGUGCUUCAUACAUGCAAGUCGAACGAGAAGUUACCUUCGGGUGAUGGAAAGUGGCGGACGGGUGAGUAAUGUGUAGAGAAUCUGCCCUUUAGUGGGGGACAACAGUUGGAAACGACUGCUAAUACCCCAUAUGCGCGUAGCUGAGAUGCUAUUCGUGAAAACUCCGGUGCUAAAGGAUGAGUCUGCAUCUGAUUAGCUAGUUGGCGGUGUAAUGGACCACCAAGGCGACGAUCAGUAGCUGGUUUGAGAGGAUGAUCAGCCACAAUGGGACUGAGACACGGCCCAUACUCCUACGGGAGGCAGCAGUAGGGAAUUUUGCGCAAUGGGGGAAACCCUGACGCAGCAACGCCGCGUGAUUGAAUAAGCCCUUCGGGGUGUAAAGAUCUGUCAGUAGGGACGAAACUUGACGGUACCUACAGAGGAAGCAUCGGCUAACUCCGUGCCAGCCGCGGC
This 463-nucleotide ribosomal RNA is filed under the name uncultured bacterium. Its description in RNAcentral is "bacterial SSU rRNA". It matches the Rfam family "Bacterial small subunit ribosomal RNA", at positions 34 to 518 of the family's 1533-position model. The record is from RNAcentral.